This 1240-nucleotide ribosomal RNA is filed under the name Rhodococcus pyridinivorans. Its description in RNAcentral is "bacterial SSU rRNA". It matches the Rfam family "Bacterial small subunit ribosomal RNA", at positions 57 to 1306 of the family's 1533-position model. Lineage: Bacteria; Bacillati; Actinomycetota; Actinomycetes; Mycobacteriales; Nocardiaceae. The record is from RNAcentral.
GCAGUCGAACGAUGAAGCCCAGCUUGCUGGGUGGAUUAGUGGCGAACGGGUGAGUAACACGUGGGUGAUCUGCCCUGCACUCUGGGAUAAGCCUGGGAAACUGGGUCUAAUACCGGAUAUGACCUCGGAUGCAUGUCCUGGGGUGGAAAGUUUUUCGGUGCAGGAUGAGCCCGCGGCCUAUCAGCUUGUUGGUGGGGUAAUGGCCUACCAAGGCGACGACGGGUAGCCGGCCUGAGAGGGCGACCGGCCACACUGGACUGAGACACGGCCCAGACUCCUACGGGAGGCAGCAGUGGGGAAUAUUGCACAAUGGGCGCAAGCCUGAUGCAGCGACGCCGCGUGAGGGAUGACGGCCUUCGGGUUGUAAACCUCUUUCACCCAGACGAAGCGCAAGUGACGGUAGUGGGAGAAGAAGCACCGGCCAACUACGUGCCAGCAGCCGCGGUAAUACGUAGGGUGCGAGCGUUGUCCGGAAUUACUGGGCGUAAAGAGCUCGUAGGCGGUUUGUGCGUCGUCUGUGAAAUCCCGCAGCUCAACUGCGGGCUUGCAGGCGAUACGGGCAGACUCGAGUACUGCAGGGGAGACUGGAAUUCCUGGUGUAGCGGUGAAAUGCGCAGAUAUCAGGAGGAACACCGUGGCGAAGGCGGGUCUCUGGGCAGUAACUGACGCUGAGGAGCGAAAGCGUGGGUAGCGAACAGGAUUAGAUACCCUGGUAGUCCACGCCGUAAACGGUGGGCGCUAGGUGUGGGUUUCCUUCCACGGAUCCGUGCCGUAGCCAACGCAUUAAGCGCCCCGCCUGGGGAGUACGGCCGCAAGGCUAAAACUCAAAGGAAUUGACGGGGGCCCGCACAAGCGGCGGAGCAUGUGGAUUAAUUCGAUGCAACGCGAAAACCUUACCUGGGUUUGACAUGUACCGGACGACUGCAGAGAUGUGGUUUCCCUUGUGGCCGGUAGACAGGUGGUGCAUGGCUGUCGUCAGCUCGUGUCGUGAGAUGUUGGGUUAAGUCCCGCAACGACGCAACCCUUGUCCUGUGUUGCCAGCACGUGAUGGUGGGGACUCGCAGGAGACUGCCGGGGUCAACUCGGAGGAAGGUGGGGACGACGUCAAGUCAUCAUGCCCCUUAUGUCCAGGGGCUUCACACAGCUACAAUGGUCGGUACAGAGGGGCCUGCGAUACCGGUGGAGGGUGGAGAGCGGAAAUCCCCUUAAAAGCCGGGUCUUCAAUUUCGGAUAUCGGGGG